CAAUUAUUUAUAGCCUCUGGCUAUAGGAAAUUGUUAGUGGCAGACGGGUGAGUAAUGCGUAGGAAUCUACCUAGUAGUACGGAAUAGCCAUUAGAAAUGGUGGGUAAUACUGUAUAAUCCCCGAGGGGGAAAGAUUUAUCGCUAUUAGAUGAGCCUACGUUAGAUUAGCUAGUUGGUGAGGUAAUGGCUUACCAAGGCUAUGAUCUAUAGCUGGUCUGAGAGGACGAUCAGCCACACUGGAACUGAGAUACGGUCCAGACUCCUACGGGAGGCAGCAGUGGGGWWUWUUGGACAAUGGGCGAAAGCCUGAUCCAGCUAUGCCGCGUGAGUGAAGAAGGCCUUCGGGUUGUAAAACUCUUUCAAUAGGGAAGAUAAUGACGGUACCUAUA
This 389-nucleotide ribosomal RNA is filed under the name Ehrlichia canis. RNAcentral's name for it is "bacterial SSU rRNA". The record is from RNAcentral. Lineage: Bacteria; Pseudomonadati; Pseudomonadota; Alphaproteobacteria; Rickettsiales; Anaplasmataceae.